GAUGAACGCUGGCGGCGUGCCUUACACAUGCAAGUCGAGCGGACAGACGUUAAGCUUGCUCCUCUCACGUUAGUGGCUCAUGUGUGGGAAACUCGCGGGUAAUCUGCCUUAAAUACUGGGAUAACUUCGUAAUACCGCAUCUAACCCGGGAUAAUAUAUUGAGCCGCAUGGUUCAUUAGUCAAUUAGGGUUUUGCUUUUCCUUAUAGAUGGAUCCGCGCCUCAUUAGGUAGUUGGUAAGGUAACGGCUUACCAAGGCGACGAUGCGUAGCCGGCCUGAGAGGAUGAUAGGCCACACUGGAACUGAGACACGGUCCAGACUCCUACGGGAGGCAGCAGUAGGGAAUCUUCGGCAAUGGGCGAAAGCUUGACGGAGCAACGCCGCGUGAGUGAAGAAGGUCUUCGGAUCGUAAAACGCUGUUAUUAGGGAAGAAAAAAUGUGGAAGUAAAUAUGGGAGUCUUGACGGUACCUGAACAAAAAGCAACGGCUAACUACGUG
This 497-nucleotide ribosomal RNA is filed under the name uncultured bacterium. RNAcentral describes it as "partial 16S ribosomal RNA". It matches the Rfam family "Bacterial small subunit ribosomal RNA", at positions 28 to 507 of the family's 1533-position model. The record is from RNAcentral.